AUGAGCGCAAUGGAGAUGGAGAAGUUGAUCAGCGAAGAGAAGGUGGUGCUUGGCGGCGCUGGAGACGAGGAGGAAGAGGACGACGUGGUACUGCCGGGAUACCGGUUCCACCCCACCGACGAGGAACUCGUCACCUUCUACCUCCGGCGGAAGGUGGCUGGGAAGCCGCUCAGCAUCGAAGUCAUCCGGGAGAUGGACAUCUACAAACACGACCCAUGGGAUCUCCCCAAGGGGAGCACGGUUGGUGGGGAAAAAGAGUGGUACUUCUUCUGCCUCAGGGGGAGGAAGUACCGGAACAGCAUCCGUCCCAACCGGGUGACCGGCUCCGGCUUCUGGAAGGCCACGGGCAUCGACCGGCCGAUCUACUCUGCCGCCAGCGGCGGCUCGGGCUCGGGCUCGGGCGUAUUGAUUGGGCUGAAGAAAUCUCUCGUCUACUACCUUGGCAAAUUCGGUAAAUGCACCAAGACCGACUGGAUGAUGCACGAGUUCCGCCUCCUGCCGUCCGCCCCCGCGGCCACCAACGCCUCCCCGAGCAUGCAGGAAGCGGAGGUGUGGACCAUCUGUCGGAUCUUCAGGAGGACCAUCACCUACCGGAAGCAGCAGACGUGGAGGACGGCGCCCACGCCAUCCGCUGCCGACCAGAGCUCCAACACGGGGAGCUUCGAGUCCUCGGAGGUCGGCCACGAGUACAUGAACUACCUGCAGGCUCCGGCACCCAUCGCCCCGUGCAUCCCCCCGCAGCAGCACCAGCAGUACGUCAGCCAGAUGGACGCAGUAAACAGCAACAACUUCUUCUACGAGGACACCAUGCACAACCAGCAGUUCCAGGGGCAAUGGAAUGCGGCACCCGCCGCGCCGGAGCCAGAGGAGAAGCCACAGAAUACACCGUCGACGGCCGUCUCCUUCCACCAGACUGACCAUAGCCACGCCGUCGCAGAGAACGAUUUUUACGAGGUCGAGGGGUAUUUGGAGGAGAUCGCGAGGAUGAUGGAGGUCACCGAUACGGCAGGGUUUUACGACUGA
Molecule: ribosomal RNA, 1023 nt
Filed under: Triticum aestivum (bread wheat)
Lineage: Eukaryota; Viridiplantae; Streptophyta; Magnoliopsida; Poales; Poaceae
Description: partial small subunit ribosomal RNA
Source: RNAcentral